RNAcentral lists this ribosomal RNA (2923 nucleotides) under Staphylococcus aureus. Its description in RNAcentral is "23S ribosomal RNA". It matches the Rfam family "Bacterial large subunit ribosomal RNA". Lineage: Bacteria; Bacillati; Bacillota; Bacilli; Caryophanales; Staphylococcaceae. The record is from RNAcentral.
GAUUAAGUUAUUAAGGGCGCACGGUGGAUGCCUUGGCACUAGAAGCCAAUGAAGGACGUUACUAACGACGAUAUGCUUUGGGGAGCUGUAAGUAAGCUUUGAUCCAGAGAUUUCCGAAUGGGGAAACCCAGCAUGAGUUAUGUCAUGUUAUCGAUAUGUGAAUACAUAGCAUAUCAGAAGGCACACCCGGAGAACUGAAACAUCUUAGUACCCGGAGGAAGAGAAAGAAAAUUCGAUUCCCUUAGUAGCGGCGAGCGAAACGGGAAGAGCCCAAACCAACAAGCUUGCUUGUUGGGGUUGUAGGACACUCUAUACGGAGUUACAAAGGACGACAUUAGACGAAUCAUCUGGAAAGAUGAAUCAAAGAAGGUAAUAAUCCUGUAGUCGAAAAUGUUGUCUCUCUUGAGUGGAUCCUGAGUACGACGGAGCACGUGAAAUUCCGUCGGAAUCUGGGAGGACCAUCUCCUAAGGCUAAAUACUCUCUAGUGACCGAUAGUGAACCAGUACCGUGAGGGAAAGGUGAAAAGCACCCCGGAAGGGGAGUGAAAUAGAACCUGAAACCGUGUGCUUACAAGUAGUCAGAGCCCGUUAAUGGGUGAUGGCGUGCCUUUUGUAGAAUGAACCGGCGAGUUACGAUUUGAUGCAAGGUUAAGCAGUAAAUGUGGAGCCGUAGCGAAAGCGAGUCUGAAUAGGGCGUUUAGUAUUUGGUCGUAGACCCGAAACCAGGUGAUCUACCCUUGGUCAGGUUGAAGUUCAGGUAACACUGAAUGGAGGACCGAACCGACUUACGUUGAAAAGUGAGCGGAUGAACUGAGGGUAGCGGAGAAAUUUCAAUCGAACCUGGAGAUAGCUGGUUCUCUCCGAAAUAGCUUUAGGGCUAGCCUCAAGUGAUGAUUAUUGGAGGUAGAGCACUGUUUGGACGAGGGGCCCCUCUCGGGUUACCGAAUUCAGACAAACUCCGAAUGCCAAUUAAUUUAACUUGGGAGUCAGAACAUGGGUGAUAAGGUCCGUGUUCGAAAGGGAAACAGCCCAGACCACCAGCUAAGGUCCCAAAAUAUAUGUUAAGUGGAAAAGGAUGUGGCGUUGCCCAGACAACUAGGAUGUUGGCUUAGAAGCAGCCAUCAUUUAAAGAGUGCGUAAUAGCUCACUAGUCGAGUGACACUGCGCCGAAAAUGUACCGGGGCUAAACAUAUUACCGAAGCUGUGGAUUGUCCUUUGGACAAUGGUAGGAGAGCGUUCUAAGGGCGUUGAAGCAUGAUCGUAAGGACAUGUGGAGCGCUUAGAAGUGAGAAUGCCGGUGUGAGUAGCGAAAGACGGGUGAGAAUCCCGUCCACCGAUUGACUAAGGUUUCCAGAGGAAGGCUCGUCCGCUCUGGGUUAGUCGGGUCCUAAGCUGAGGCCGACAGGCGUAGGCGAUGGAUAACAGGUUGAUAUUCCUGUACCACCUAUAAUCGUUUUAAUCGAUGGGGGGACGCAGUAGGAUAGGCGAAGCGUGCGAUUGGAUUGCACGUCUAAGCAGUAAGGCUGAGUAUUAGGCAAAUCCGGUACUCGUUAAGGCUGAGCUGUGAUGGGGAGAAGACAUUGUGUCUUCGAGUCGUUGAUUUCACACUGCCGAGAAAAGCCUCUAGAUAGAAAAUAGGUGCCCGUACCGCAAACCGACACAGGUAGUCAAGAUGAGAAUUCUAAGGUGAGCGAGCGAACUCUCGUUAAGGAACUCGGCAAAAUGACCCCGUAACUUCGGGAGAAGGGGUGCUCUUUAGGGUUAACGCCCAGAAGAGCCGCAGUGAAUAGGCCCAAGCGACUGUUUAUCAAAAACACAGGUCUCUGCUAAACCGUAAGGUGAUGUAUAGGGGCUGACGCCUGCCCGGUGCUGGAAGGUUAAGAGGAGUGGUUAGCUUCUGCGAAGCUACGAAUCGAAGCCCCAGUAAACGGCGGCCGUAACUAUAACGGUCCUAAGGUAGCGAAAUUCCUUGUCGGGUAAGUUCCGACCCGCACGAAAGGCGUAACGAUUUGGGCACUGUCUCAACGAGAGACUCGGUGAAAUCAUAGUACCUGUGAAGAUGCAGGUUACCCGCGACAGGACGGAAAGACCCCGUGGAGCUUUACUGUAGCCUGAUAUUGAAAUUCGGCACAGCUUGUACAGGAUAGGUAGGAGCCUUUGAAACGUGAGCGCUAGCUUACGUGGAGGCGCUGGUGGGAUACUACCCUAGCUGUGUUGGCUUUCUAACCCGCACCACUUAUCGUGGUGGGAGACAGUGUCAGGCGGGCAGUUUGACUGGGGCGGUCGCCUCCUAAAAGGUAACGGAGGCGCUCAAAGGUUCCCUCAGAAUGGUUGGAAAUCAUUCAUAGAGUGUAAAGGCAUAAGGGAGCUUGACUGCGAGACCUACAAGUCGAGCAGGGUCGAAAGACGGACUUAGUGAUCCGGUGGUUCCGCAUGGAAGGGCCAUCGCUCAACGGAUAAAAGCUACCCCGGGGAUAACAGGCUUAUCUCCCCCAAGAGUUCACAUCGACGGGGAGGUUUGGCACCUCGAUGUCGGCUCAUCGCAUCCUGGGGCUGUAGUCGGUCCCAAGGGUUGGGCUGUUCGCCCAUUAAAGCGGUACGCGAGCUGGGUUCAGAACGUCGUGAGACAGUUCGGUCCCUAUCCGUCGUGGGCGUAGGAAAUUUGAGAGGAGCUGUCCUUAGUACGAGAGGACCGGGAUGGACAUACCUCUGGUGUACCAGUUGUCGUGCCAACGGCAUAGCUGGGUAGCUAUGUGUGGACGGGAUAAGUGCUGAAAGCAUCUAAGCAUGAAGCCCCCCUCAAGAUGAGAUUUCCCAACUUCGGUUAUAAGAUCCCUCAAAGAUGAUGAGGUUAAUAGGUUCGAGGUGGAAGCAUGGUGACAUGUGGAGCUGACGAAUACUAAUCGAUCGAAGACUUAAUCAA